UCAAGCGAACAAGUGCAUGUGGUGGAUGCCUUGGCGAUCACAGGCGAUGAAGGACGCGGUAGCCUGCGAAAAGCUACGGGGAGCUGGCAAACGAGCUUUGAUCCGUAGAUGUCCGAAUGGGGAAACCCACUCCUUAUGGAGUAUCCAUGGCUGAAUACAUAGGCCAUGUGAAGCGAACGCGGUGAACUGAAACAUCUAAGUAACCGCAGGAAAAGAAAUCAACCGAGAUUCCCAAAGUAGUGGCGAGCGAAAUGGGAUGAGCCUUGCACUCUUUAUUUGUAUUGUUAGCCGAACGCUCUGGAAAGUGCGGCCAUAGCAGGUGAUAGCCCUGUAGGCGAAAACAGUAUGAAAGAACUAGGUGUGCGACAAGUAGGGCGGGACACGUGAAAUCCUGUCUGAAGAUGGGGGGACCAUCCUCCAAGGCUAAAUACUCGUGAUCGACCGAUAGUGAACCAGUACCGUGAGGGAAAGGCGAAAAGAACCCCGGGAGGGGAGUGAAAUAGAUCCUGAAACCGCAUGCAUACAAACAGUCGGAGCCUCGUAAGGGGUGACGGCGUACCUUUUGUAUAAUGGGUCAGCGACUUACGUUCAGUAGCAAGCUUAACCGUAUAGGGCAGGCGUAGCGAAAGCGAGUCCGAAUAGGGCGUUCAGUUGCUGGGCGUAGACCCGAAACCAGGUGAUCUAUCCAUGGCCAGGAUGAAGGUGCGGUAACACGUACUGGAGGUCCGAACCCACUAACGUUGAAAAGUUAGGGGAUGAGCUGUGGAUAGGGGUGAAAGGCUAAACAAACCUGGAAAUAGCUGGUUCUCUCCGAAAACUAUUUAGGUAGUGCCUCGUGUCUCACCUUCGGGGGUAGAGCACUGUCAUGGUUGGGGGGUCUAUUGCAGAUUACCCCGCCAUAGCAAACUCCGAAUACCGAAGAGUGCAAUCACGGGAGACAGACAUCGGGUGCUAACGUCCGGUGUCAAGAGGGAAACAACCCAGACCGCCAGCUAAGGUCCCCAAAUAUGGCUAAGUGGGAAACGAAGUGGGAAGGCUAAAACAGUCAGGAGGUUGGCUUAGAAGCAGCCACCCUUUAAAGAAAGCGUAAUAGCUCACUGAUCGAGUCGUCCUGCGCGGAAGAUGUAACGGGGCUAAGCCAUAUACCGAAGCUGCGGAUGCGAGCUAGUCUCGCAUGGUAGGAGAGCGUUCCGUAAGCCUGCGAAGGUGCCUUGUAAAGGGUGCUGGAGGUAUCGGAAGUGCGAAUGCUGACAUGAGUAGCGAUAAAGGGGGUGAAAGGCCCCCUCGCCGUAAGCCCAAGGUUUCCUACGCAACGUUCAUCGGCGUAGGGUGAGUCGGCCCCUAAGGCGAGGCAGAAAUGCGUAGCUGAUGGGAAGCAGGUCAAUAUUCCUGCACCGUCGUUAGAUGCGAUGGGGGGACGGAUCGCGGAAGGUUGUCCGGGUGUUGGAAGUCCCGGUCGCUGCAUUGGAGAAGGCGCUUAGGCAAAUCCGGGCGCAGGAUUCAAGGGUGUGGCGCGAGCUCCCUCGGGAGCGAAGCAAUUGGAAGUGGUUCCAAGAAAAGCCUCUAAGCUUCAGUCUAACGAUGACCGUACCGCAAACCGACACAGGUGGGCGAGAUGAGUAUUCUAAGGCGCUUGAGAGAACUCGGGAGAAGGAACUCGGCAAAUUGGUACCGUAACUUCGGGAUAAGGUACGCCCUUGUAGCUUGACUGGCCUGCGCCAGGAGGGUGAAGGGGUUGCAAUAAACUGGUGGCUGCGACUGUUUAAUAAAAACACAGCACUCUGCAAACACGAAAGUGGACGUAUAGGGUGUGACGCCUGCCCGGUGCCGGAAGAUUAAAUGAUGGGGUGCAAGCUCUUGAUUGAAGUCCCGGUAAACGGCGGCCGUAACUAUAACGGUCCUAAGGUAGCGAAAUUCCUUGUCGGGUAAGUUCCGACCUGCACGAAUGGCGUAACGAUGGCCACACUGUCUCCUCCCGAGACUCAGCGAAGUUGAAGUGUUUGUGAUGAUGCAAUCUACCCGCGGCUAGACGGAAAGACCCCAUGAACCUUUACUGUAGCUUUGCAUUGGACUUUGAACCGAUCUGUGUAGGAUAGGUGGGAGGCUAUGAAACCGGAACGCCAGUUUCGGUGGAGCCGUCCUUGAAAUACCACCCUGGUUUGUUUGAGGUUCUAACCUUGGCCCGUGAUCCGGGUCGGGGACAGUGCAUGGUAGGCAGUUUGACUGGGGCGGUCUCCUCCCAAAGCGUAACGGAGGAGUACGAAGGUACGCUAGGUACGGUCGGAAAUCGUGCUGAUAGUGCAAUGGCAUAAGCGUGCUUAACUGCGAGACCGACAAGUCGAGCAGGUGCGAAAGCAGGUCAUAGUGAUCCGGUGGUUCUGUAUGGAAGGGCCAUCGCUCAACGGAUAAAAGGUACUCUGGGGAUAACAGGCUGAUACCGCCCAAGAGUUCAUAUCGACGGCGGUGUUUGGCACCUCGAUGUCGGCUCAUCUCAUCCUGGGGCUGUAGCCGGUCCCAAGGGUAUGGCUGUUCGCCAUUUAAAGAGGUACGUGAGCUGGGUUUAAAACGUCGUGAGACAGUUUGGUCCCUAUCUGCCGUGGGCGUUGGAUAUUUGAAGGGGGCUGCUCCUAGUACGAGAGGACCGGAGUGGACGAACCUCUGGUGUACCGGUUGUGACGCCAGUCGCAUCGCCGGGUAGCUAUGUUCGGAAGAGAUAACCGCUGAAAGCAUCUAAGCGGGAAACUCGCCUUAAGAUGAGAUAUCCCUGGAGGCUUGACCUCCUUGAAGGGUCGUUCGAGACCAGGACGUUGAU
Molecule: ribosomal RNA, 2812 nt
Filed under: Burkholderia ubonensis MSMB153
Lineage: Bacteria; Pseudomonadati; Pseudomonadota; Betaproteobacteria; Burkholderiales; Burkholderiaceae
Description: bacterial LSU rRNA
Rfam family: Bacterial large subunit ribosomal RNA
Source: RNAcentral